This 503-nucleotide ribosomal RNA is filed under the name uncultured bacterium. Its description in RNAcentral is "partial 16S ribosomal RNA". It matches the Rfam family "Bacterial small subunit ribosomal RNA", at positions 30 to 523 of the family's 1533-position model. The record is from RNAcentral.
AUUGAACGCUGGCGGCAGGCUUAACACAUGCAAGUCGAGCGGGGUGAUGGUGCUUGCACUAUCACUUAGCGGCGGACGGGUGAGUAAUGCUUAGGAAUCUGCCUAUUAGUGGGGGACAACAUCUCGAAAGGGAUGCUAAUACCGCAUACGUCCUACGGGAGAAAGCAGGGGAUCACUUGUGACCUUGCGCUAAUAGAUGAGCCUAAGUCGGAUUAGCUAGUUGGUGGGGGAAAGGCCUACCAAGGCGACGACCUGUAGCGGGUCUGAGAGGAUGAUCCGCCACACUGGGACUGAGACACGGCCCAGACUCCGACGGGAGGCAGCAGUGGGGAAUAUUGGACAAUGGGGGGAACCCUGAUCCAGCCAUGCGGCGUGUGUGAAGAAGGCCUUAUGGUUGUAAAGCACUUUAAGCGAGGAGGAGGCUCUUUUGGUUAAUACCCAAGAUGAGUGGACGUUACUCGCAGAAUAAGCACCGGCUAACUCUGUGCCAGCAGCCGCCGUAA